Molecule: ribosomal RNA, 253 nt
Filed under: uncultured bacterium
Lineage: Bacteria
Description: partial 16S ribosomal RNA
Rfam family: Bacterial small subunit ribosomal RNA
Source: RNAcentral
UACGUAGGGCGCAAGCGUUAAUCGGAAUUACUGGGCGUAAAGCGUGCGCAGGCGGCUUUGCAAGACAGAUGUGAAAUCCCCGGGCUCAACCUGGGAACUGCAUCUGUGACUGCAUAGCUAGAGUACGGUAGAGGGGGAUGGAAUUCCGCGUGUAGCAGUGAAAUGCGUAGAUAUCGUGAGGAAGACCAGUGGCGAAGGCGGGUCUCUGGACAGUUCCUGACGCUGAGGCGCGAAGGCCAGGGGAGCAAACGGG